AGCCGGAUGCCGCCGAGUCGCUCACCGCAGCGAGCCGGGGACCCACCGCAGCACUGGGGUGAAUCCUGACCUGGGCACGUGCCCGGGUCGGGUAGGGCUUCUUCCCGCCCGAACCCGUCAGCUAACUCGGUAGGCGGCCACGGAAGACCAC
This 151-nucleotide small RNA is filed under the name Modestobacter marinus. RNAcentral's name for it is "c-di-AMP sequence". It matches the Rfam family "c-di-AMP riboswitch aptamer (ydaO/yuaA leader)". Rfam says of the family: This family represents a conserved RNA structure found upstream of the ydaO and yuaA genes in Bacillus subtilis and related genes in other bacteria. The ydaO/yuaA element is thought to act as a genetic "off" switch for the ydaO and yuaA genes in its native state. Lineage: Bacteria; Bacillati; Actinomycetota; Actinomycetes; Geodermatophilales; Geodermatophilaceae. The record is from Rfam by way of RNAcentral.